Molecule: microRNA precursor, 108 nt
Filed under: Marmota monax (woodchuck)
Lineage: Eukaryota; Metazoa; Chordata; Mammalia; Rodentia; Sciuridae
Source: RNAcentral
AAUGCUUAUAUGUAUGUGUGUGUGUAUGUGUGUGUGUGUGUGUGUAUAUAUAUAUAUAUAUAUAUAUACACACACACACACACACACAUAUACAUAUAUAUAUACAUA